RNAcentral lists this long non-coding RNA (969 nucleotides) under Mytilus galloprovincialis (Mediterranean mussel). Lineage: Eukaryota; Metazoa; Mollusca; Bivalvia; Mytilida; Mytilidae. The record is from RNAcentral.
UCAAUAAAUAACAAAAGGUCCAUUAUUUUGAUAGUUACUGGUAAUUCCUUAUAUGGGAUAAAACCAAUUUCUUUUAAACUUGCAACAAGCUGUACACUGAGCCAUAUAAGAAUUGCAGUAAGGAUUUUCGUAUAUACUGAAGAAUAAACUUUUCUCAACUUAUAUACAUUCCUGACAGCUAACAAUUUUUCUAUAGUCAACCAUGUAGUCACAACUAUAGUACACAUUCAUUAAACUGUAUAAAUAAAUGGUAAAUACAUACAAAAAAUAAAUAAAAAUUACAAAAUGUAAACAACUAUAUCACAGACUUUAAAAUAAAUUAAUAAACAAUUAUAUAUAAACACAAUAUCAUAAAUAAUUAAACAACUUUAUGAGGCGGUGUCGGAUAGAAAUUGACCUUAUGCAAAUGAAUAUCAAUACAUCUGUUCACCAAAUUUCUGAUUGUUUGAAAUCUCUAUGAAAAGUCUAACAAUUUGAAAAUUGAAUAGUAAUGGAUCCAACAAAACAGACCAAAAAUCAUCUUUUAUUUCGUAUCUGAAUAUUCCAAAACCAAUCAAAGUCUUAUAUAUAUACAUGUAUAUGUGCACUUGCAUAAGGUUGAUUUCUGUUGGACACAGCUCAAAUGAUAAUCACUUUAUUAUAAAUUACAAAACUUGUUAUAGCACUGAAUUAACAUUCCCUAACAAUAAGGUCCCAAAUAUUUCUCUGAAAUGUCAACUUUUAAAUCAUCAAAACAAUCUACAUAAUUUACAAAGUGUUGGUCUUUAUAAAAAUAACCCAACUAUGUGCAGCCUGCUCUUGACAUUUUUCUAACAAAUUUUUGCAGAAAAGAAGUAAUUUUGCCAUUUUUAAAACUAAAAUUCAUCUAUUGUUCUUCAUGUAAUAAAGUCCAAUAUACAAAUUUUGUAAACAUGAUUAUUAAAUGAACCAAAAUCUUUAAAACCUUCCAUGAAUUUUCAAUCAGCUGCA